Molecule: long non-coding RNA, 3665 nt
Filed under: Salmo salar (Atlantic salmon)
Lineage: Eukaryota; Metazoa; Chordata; Actinopteri; Salmoniformes; Salmonidae
Description: lncRNA (ENSSSAG00000086850.1)
Source: RNAcentral
GCCGUAAAACCUUUUUGAAAUCGUAAAACGUGGUUAGAUUAAGGAGAUGUUUAUCUUUCAAAUGGUGUAAAAUAGUUGUAUUUUUGAAAAAUUAGAAUUUUGACAUUUAUUUGGAUUCAAAUUUGCCGCUCUUGAAAUGCACCUGCUGUUGAUGGAGUGCACCACGGGUGGCACGCUAGCGUCCCACCUAGCCCAUAGAGGUUAACAUGAGAUCCUUUCUAAGCUUUACAGGAAUGUGGUUCUUAAUAUAAAUGGCCACACCUCCACCUUUCGGCAUUUGUCUUUUCUGUAGAUGUUAUAACCAUGUAUUGCUACCACUGUAUCAUCAAAGGUAUUAUCUAAGUGAGUUUCAGAGAUUGACAGAAUAUGAAUGUCAUCUGUCACUAGCAAAUUACUGAUUUCAUGAACCUUGUUUCUUGAGCUACAUAUGUUAACAUGGGCUAUUUUUAGCACUUUUUUGGGAUGCUUCUGUCAUUGAACAGUCAUUGUCUCAAUGCAGCCUGAUAAUGCUGUGAAAGGAUCCAGGAACCCAAAUGAUUUGGGUGGAUACCAUCCUCCUUAUAAUACGAGCUUUGUUUCCAGAAGAUAUCAAAAUUGUCAAUAAAUGUUACAUCCACAGAGCUACCACAGUCUCGUAGCCAGUUAUGGAGGGAUAAAAGUCUGCUGAACCGUUCAAUGCCACGAUUUGGGGAUGGCAGAGGGCCAGAUAUUAUAGGGUGCUUGUUGGUGUCAAGUAGUGACCCAAUCAGUUCUUUAAAAUCAAUCUUCAGCUGUUCUGAGCUGCCCUUCAUAAUGUUAUUGAAUACCACAUGAUAUACUCAAUUUCCUGAUGCUGGUUUAAAAUGUUUGGGAGCAGCUUAUUGAUGUCCUGUACUCGUGCUCCUGGAUAGCACAACAUUUUUGACAUUCCUCACUGUUGAACUGCCCAAUACAACGCCGGAGAAGGGAAUUGAGAAAUCCGCCCAUUCCCACCCCUCACACAGUUCAUUGAUCCUUUCAUGGGCCUGGCGAUAGGUCCAGAUCUCCCACAGAAGGCAGUGCCCUGUCAGAUCCAGAGAGAGGGAAAGGAGCCGAACUCAACGACGAAGCAGCUGCUGAAGUCAGCAUAGUUGGAGUCAGCACCGCCAUCGCAGACACAGGUAAUCCCAGCAAUGAAGGCGCAGGUAGAUCAGGCACAAGUGCAGCGAAGCUAUUCCUUAUGUCAAUCUGCUCCGAACCUCUAGCAGUCUGUCAUGUCUGCUUACAGCAUGCCGCUGCCUUUGGUUUCCACAACUUGUGACAUGGGAUCAGCGCAGAUUGGAACGCUCUACUUGCUGUUCUCCAUCUACUUCACUACAGGAUCGAGGAGGAGAAGCAGAUGGAAAAGACUUCCUUGGCAGCUAGUUCCAGGUAGCACAGGCCAGUCGUAUAGGGACAGGUGAUGGGGAAACAUCCAUUAGGCCCGAGCGGCGUCCUGCCAUAGGAGAAGCAGCCAUGAUGAUAUCCACAGAGAGAGAGGCCGGCCCACAAACCAACAGCCGUUACAGAACUACCCACCACAACUGGAUCAAGCAGCGUCCCUGGGAGGAGAUGGAUUCCUGGUCUCUGGAGGAGAGGCUAGAGAGGAUAAACUGGACUUGGGGCCAAGUAUUGGACAGAUAUAGAAGCCUGCCGGGGAGGCACGAGAGGCUACAGAAACACAAAGAAAGUUUUGGGUGGGGGGCACAUGAAGCAGUCGGCGGAGCUGAGGAGUAAACCAGAGCCAAUCCGGGAGAGGAGGGAGUAUUUGGAGAAGGGAGAAAUGGCUUGUUGAGUUGGUGGAGGACGCACAAGUUUUUCCCAAAGGAACGUGUCGUCAGUUUGGUGCCACCUGAGUCAGCUCCCCGUACUCGUCCUAAGAAGUGUGUGGAAGUUCUGGAACAAGUGAUACCGGCUAUACACACCAGAUCUCCAGUACGUCUCAACUGCCCGGUACGUCCUGUCCCUGCUCCUCGCAUUCGCCCUGAAAUGCGUGUCACCAGUCUGGUGCCACCUGUCCCGGCUCCACGCACUAGGCCUUCAGUGCGCCUGCCCAGUCCAGAGCCUCCAGCGACGCUCCCCAGUCCGGCGCCUCCAGCGACGCUCCCCAGUCCGGCACCUCCAGCGACACUCCCCAGUCCGGUUCCUCCUCCGAUGAUCCACGGUCCGGUGGUACUAAAGCAGAGGGAUCAGCGGGUGGAGCGGGGGUUACGCCCCGAACCGGAGCCGCCUCCCCUGCUGGAGGAUCCGCUGGAGGAUAAGUUUAUGUGGACUGCACUAGAGCCGCCAUAGACAGGAGUUACCCACCCUACCCUCCCUUUUGUUUUUUUUGUGGCAUUCGGAGUCUGCACCUUUGGGGGGGGGGGGGGGUACUGUCACGUCCUGACCAUAGUAAGAUGUUAUUUUCUAUGGUAGAGUAGGUCAGGGCGUGACGGGGGGUGUUUGUGUUUUUCAAUGUUUUGUAUAUCUAUGUUUAGGUUCUAGUUUUCUAUGUUUUUUGGGGGGAUGAUCUCCAAUUAGAGGCAGCUGGUCCUCGUUGUCUCUAAUUGGAGAUCAUACUUAAAACCUCUUACAUCUAGACGUUCCGCUAGCGGAACACCUGCUCCAAUAUCCAAUGAUAGGCGUGGCGCGAAUUACAAAUUCCGCAAAAAUACAAAAACUUCAAUUUUUCAAACAUAUGACUAUUUCACAGCAUUUUAAAGACAAGACUCUCCUUUAACUAACCACACUGUCCGAUUUCAAAAAGGCUUUACAGCGAAAGCAAAACAUUAGAUUAUGUCAGCAGAGUACCAAGCCAGAAAUAAUCAGACACCCAUUUUUCAAGCUAGCAUAUAAUGUCACAAAAAACAAAACCACAGCUAAAUGCAGCACUAACCUUUGAUGAUCUUCAUCAGAUGACAACCCUAGGACAUUAUGUUAUACAAUGCAUGCAUGUUUUGUUCAAUCAAGUUCAUAUUUAUAUCAAAAACCAGCUUUUUACAUUAGCAUGUGACGUUCAGAACUAGCAUACCCCCCGCAAACAUCCGGUGAAUUUACUAAAUUACUCACGAUAAACGUUCACAAAAAACAUAACAAUUAUUUAAAGAAUUAUAGAUACAGAACUCCUCUAUGAACUCGAUAUGUCCGAUUUUAAAAUAGCUUUUCGGUGAAAGCACAUUUUGCAAUAUUCUCAGUAGAUAGCCCAGCCAUCACGGCUAGCCAUUUAGACACCGACCAAGUUUAGCCCUGAUCAAACUCCGAUUUACUAUUACAAAAGUUUCAUUACCUUUGUUGUCUUCAUCAGAAUGCACUCCCAGGACUGCUACUUCAUUAACAAAUGUUGGUUUGGUCCAAAAUAAUCCAUCGUUAUAUCCGAAUAGCGGCGUUUUGUUCGUGCGUUCCAGACACUAUCCGAAAUGGUAAAGAAGGGUCGUGCGCAUGGCGCAAUUCGUGACAAAAAAAAUCUAAAUAUUCCAUUACCGUACUUCGAAGCAUGUCAACCGCUGUUUAAAAUCAAAUUUUAUGCCAUUUUUCUCGUAGAAAAGCGAUAAUAUUCCGACCGGGAAUCUCCUUUUCGGCAAACAGAGGAAAAAAUCACAAAGACGGGGGCGGCCAGGUCACGCGCCUAAGCCCAGAGUCCCUUGAUCGGCCACUUGAGAAAGGCGAUAAUGUGUUUCAGCCUGGGGCUG